GGGUAUUCUCGGGUGACGCACCCAGGAAUCGGGCUCCCUCCUCUCUGGUUCUGGGUGCUUCACCCAAGAACCACA
This is a non-coding RNA of Myotis brandtii (Brandt's bat), 75 nucleotides long. NCBI's taxonomy places the organism in Eukaryota, Metazoa, Chordata, Mammalia, Chiroptera, Vespertilionidae. The record is from Rfam.